RNAcentral lists this small nucleolar RNA (86 nucleotides) under Maudiozyma saulgeensis. Lineage: Eukaryota; Fungi; Ascomycota; Saccharomycetes; Saccharomycetales; Saccharomycetaceae. The record is from RNAcentral.
UAAAAUGAUGACAAAGUUGUCGCCCCAGGCGGAUCUAAUUGAAAUGACCGACAAAGCAACAUAGCCAAACACUGAAAAUUCUGAAU